ACCACGAAAGAACAGGACCCUGUGGAGGACGCUUGGAGCCCAACAUCUACUACGACGCUCCCUUUUCAUAUAAAGCUAUUGUACAAGAUAUGUGGGCCACCACCCUGGUCAGGAUAGCGAAGGAGGAUGUAUGUGAUAUCAAACAUCUUGAACAGUGCUACCAACAUCUCAUCCCUGCAUAUAAGGAGGACUUGAAUAGAAGCCUAUGCCACACAACGAGAGACACGAAAAACGCGCCUACAUUUUCAGGAGUAGUGGGAUUCCGCAUAGAUGAAUUCUGUAAGACGAGCGCUACUAUGUAUGGAAGGAGAGCGGUAAGCAUCA
Molecule: long non-coding RNA, 324 nt
Organism: Ornithodoros turicata
Lineage: Eukaryota; Metazoa; Arthropoda; Arachnida; Ixodida; Argasidae
Exons: 3
Source: RefSeq, a predicted model, not a curated record